Molecule: ribosomal RNA, 292 nt
Filed under: uncultured bacterium
Lineage: Bacteria
Description: partial 16S ribosomal RNA
Rfam family: Bacterial small subunit ribosomal RNA
Source: RNAcentral
GUGCCAGCCGCCGCGGUAAUACGGAGGGUGCAAACGUUGCUCGGAAUCAUUGGGCGUAAAGCGCACGUAGGCGGUCCAGCAAGUCGGGUGUGAAAGCCCUCGGCUUAACCGAGGAAGUGCAUUCGAAACUACUGGACUUGAAUACUGGAGAGGAUCGCGGAAUUCCCGGUGUAGAGGUGAAAUUCGUAGAUAUCGGGAGGAACACCAGUGGCGAAGGCGGCGAUCUGGACAGAUAUUGACGCUGAGGUGCGAAAGCGUGGGGAGCAAACAGGAUUAGAAACCCUCGUAGUCC